Molecule: unclassified non-coding RNA, 724 nt
Filed under: Hevea brasiliensis (rubber tree)
Lineage: Eukaryota; Viridiplantae; Streptophyta; Magnoliopsida; Malpighiales; Euphorbiaceae
Source: RNAcentral
AUGAAAGCAAGAAUUAAAGAGGUAGUAUAAUAAUUUUUGAAAUUCAUAUUUAGAAUGAGAAGAUGGCAUGAAAAUUAAACACAUAUUUGGAUGGGUAAUUUUUAUUGUUUGUCCGUAAACUUUAUCUCAUAUUUCACUUUUAUCUCUCAUCUUCAAUUUAUUAUUAAAAAAUUUAUGAACUUUAAUUUUGUUUCAUAAAAAAUUUCUUUAACAUGCAAUAAUAGAUUUUUAAAUUAAAAAAUUCCUCGAAGCUGCAGUGUAACAUCUACAAAUACGGUUUCAAACACUUUCUAAUGAAAGAUAAAUCCUUCUUCUUUCCAAGAAGUAAAUCAUUGUGAAGGCAUUAAUAUUUGUGUGAUAGGUCAACAUAAUAAUUUAACAGAUUAAUUUCUUUUUUUUAGUGUUAGAGAAAAAGAGGUAAAAAGGCUUAUUAUUUUUUUAACUUGAAUAUUUGCUAUAGUGGAUUAGAAAGAUUUUUGUAAAAUAAAAUCAAAGUUCAAAAUUUUUUAGAAAUAAAUUGAAGUUAAGGAACGAAAAUGAAACAUAAAAUAAUGUUUAGGGACGAAUUAUAAAAAUUACCCUAUUUGAAACUAUUAUUACUUGUAGUAAUAAGAGAUAGAUAAUCAAAUGAUUAAUAACCCAAGAAAUGAUAGUUUAAACAAAAAUUUUGUUCUUAAUUAUUUACAUUUUGAUCUUUGUCAGGUUGAUGAGCUUUUAGCUAAAG